This 84-nucleotide small RNA is filed under the name Isoptericola halotolerans. Its description in RNAcentral is "microRNA MIR1846". Lineage: Bacteria; Bacillati; Actinomycetota; Actinomycetes; Micrococcales; Promicromonosporaceae. The record is from RNAcentral.
UCGUGCCUUGAUGCCGAACAGGAGGUUGGGCCCGCUUGGGGAGACCAAAGCGGGCCCAACCUCCUGUUCGGCACCUCGCUCAGA